GUGGAGAAUUUUGGACAAUGGGCGCAAGCCUGAUCCAGCAAUGCCGCGUGCAGGAAGAAGGCCUUCGGGUUGUAAACUGCUUUUGUACGGAACGAAACGGUCCGGGUUAAUACCCUGGGCUAAUGACGGUACCGUAAGAAUAAGCACCGGCUAACUACGUGCCAGCAGCCGCGGUAAUACGUAGGGUGCAAGCGUUAAUCGGAAUUACUGGGCGUAAAGCGUGCGCAGGCGGUUUUGUAAGACAGGCGUGAAAUCCCCGGGCUCAACCUGGGAAUUGCGCUUGUGACUGCAAGGCUGGAGUGCGGCAGAGGGGGAUGGAAUUCCGCGUGUAGCAGUGAAAUGCGUAGAUAUGCGGAGGAACACCGAUGGCGAAGGCAAUCCCCUGGGCCUGCACUGACGCUCAUGCACGAAAGCGUGGGGAGCAAACAGGAUUAGAUACCCUAGUAGUCC
Molecule: ribosomal RNA, 450 nt
Filed under: uncultured bacterium
Lineage: Bacteria
Description: bacterial SSU rRNA
Rfam family: Bacterial small subunit ribosomal RNA
Source: RNAcentral